AUUGAACGCUGGCGGCAGGCCUAACACAUGCAAGUCGAGCGGAUGAAGGGAGCUUGCUCCUGGAUUCAGCGGCGGACGGGUGAGUAAUGCCUAGGAAUCUGCCUGGUAGUGGGGGAUAACGUCCGGAAACGGGCGCUAAUACCGCAUACGUCCUGAGGGAGAAAGUGGGGGAUCUUCGGACCUCACGCUAUCAGAUGAGCCUAGGUCGGAUUAGCUAGUUGGUGGGGUAAAGGCCUACCAAGGCGACGAUCCGUAACUGGUCUGAGGGGAUGAUCAGUCACACUGGAACUGAGACACGGUCCAGACUCCUACGGGAGCCAGCAGUGGGGAAUAUUGGACAAUGGGCGAAAGCCUGAUCCAGCCAUGCCGCGUGUGUGAAGAAGGUCUUCGGAUUGUAAAGCACUUUAAGUUGGGAGGAAGGGCAGUAAGUUAAUACCUUGCUGUUUUGACGUUACCAACAGAAUAAGCACCGGCUAACUUCGUG
RNAcentral lists this ribosomal RNA (484 nucleotides) under uncultured bacterium. RNAcentral describes it as "partial 16S ribosomal RNA". It matches the Rfam family "Bacterial small subunit ribosomal RNA", at positions 30 to 507 of the family's 1533-position model. The record is from RNAcentral.